RNAcentral lists this long non-coding RNA (2714 nucleotides) under Sus scrofa (pig). Its description in RNAcentral is "lncRNA (ENSSSCG00065056742.1)". Lineage: Eukaryota; Metazoa; Chordata; Mammalia; Artiodactyla; Suidae. The record is from RNAcentral.
UACUGUAUAUACUAUAGUAUAUAUCAAUAUUAUAUGCAAUAUAUAUAUUUGAGGAGAUUUACAUCUUCACACUAUUAAUUUUUACAUACCUUGUAUAUAAAAAUAAGGAAGGAAGAAAGGCAAUUUAAAAUUAUAUUUCGUGGCUGAUACGUAUUUAUUUUUCUCACUUUGAUAUUAUCCAAAUAUCCAAAGAAUUACAAUUUAAUACUAGUUUAAGGUCUUACAUUUUGACAGAAAAUCUGGAAAGAACUGUUUAACCUGACAUAUUAGGUCCUUAUGAUUUGAAGCAUUGUAAGAAUUCAUAAAAUUUCAACCUUUUAAAAGACAUCCACUAAUAAAGAACAUACAUUAUUAUAAUUGCAUUUAACAUUUUUUGUUUUUGAAAUAAAUCUUAUUUAUUGCUAAAUUUGUCCAAUUUUUAGAAAGAUGAUAACCUCUUAAGAAAUCCAUUAACAUGGUUUUUUUAGUGUUACAAUCCAUGUAGCAAGGAAUUUUGAGAGAACACAUUAUCAAAAAAUUUUUUUCCAAGGUGAAAUGCAGAUGGAUUAACUAAAACGUAUCCACUGGGUCUGAGAAAACUAAGUUUUGAAAUGGCUGAGGAGAAAGCCAAGAAGCCUUACAAUGCAGCAUUCAUGAAGGAAUCCUGUAAGACUUCCUGACCAGUCAGGAACUGGUGUCAUUAUGUAACUCUAGAAGAGAAUUGACAGUGGGCUUACAACAAGAGGCUUAGUUAAAAGCUCAUAUACAUAUGCUCCAUUUAGAUUCCUCAGUUAUCUUCUUGAGUUAAUAUUGCCUUGCCAUAUGAAAGAUUCUCCUUAUUCUAGAUUGAGGACUAAAGAUUUCUUUGGAGAAGUUUCUUGGUAUCUGACUUGGAGAAAACCAUAUAGCUUUGAGGAUAGAUGGCCAAUGUGAAAACAAAGGAGUAAAUUAAAACUUUACAAACUGAGUACCCCAAAUACAUUCUCAAUCCAAAACCAAGAAGAGAGUAUUAGAGUCUCCACAGGAAAAAUUACUAUUUUUUUUCUUUUUCUUUCUUUCUUUUUUUUUUUUUUUUUGGCUGCACCCACAGCAUAAGGAAGUUCCAGGGAUCAAACCCAAGCCCCAGAUGCAACCUAUAUGUGACAGCUGUGGCAAGUCUGGAUCCUUAACCUAUUGCACUGGGCCAGGGAUAGAACCUGAGUUGCUGCUGAGAUAAAGCAGGAUCCUUAAUCCACUGUGCCACAGUGGAAACUCCACUGUAGGAAGAAUUUUUGCUUAAGAUUUUGACCAAUUGUUGCCCAGGGCAAAAAAGGAGUCAACUGACCAGGAUGUCUAAUAUCUGAAUAAUGAAAGAUCCAGUAAAUCAAAAUGAAGAAAGUGCAUAGGAAUAGAACAUUUAAGAAAAAUGAGUAAAUACAAUAUCCUAGAAGAACAUGAGUUUUUAUUUUGGAAGUGGUCACUGAAUGGUCAACUCAAAGUUUGAAACUCUUCAUUAACAAAUACUGUAUGUUUAAAUAAUUUAAAAAUAUUUUGUGAAUAUACUAAGUUCAACCCUUCCGAGGCAUUGAAAUUUUUUACUUUUUAAUUUAGUUUUUGGUUUAGUUAGUUUUUAAAUUUUUUAGUUUAUAAACUAAGGACAUAAUUUUGAAUUGACUACUGCUUGGUGUUUGGACAUGUGCAUAAUAGUUUCACAUAUUCUGAGUGAGGAGAGUCAAUAACUACACUUUUAUUCCCAUUAAAUUUUGAUGAGCAUAUAUAAGAAUGACACUUUCCCUUAGGGAAAGAUAGAAUAGAUUGCAGUUGUGAUCAACUAUAUCAAUUUUUAUUCUCUUAUGCUAAGAUCAAUUACCUUUUUUUUUUAUUCAAAUGAGCAUUGUCAUAAAUUGUCUUAUUAUCACAGAGGAAAAAAGGGCAACUCAGUAUCAUAUCCUCCAGCAUUUCUUAUAUAAUGCCUCCUUGAAUAUCAUUUACAUGCUUUAUGAAUAUAUUUAUUGUUCUGAAAGCCAAUUACCUAAUGUUUUCUAAGUUGUUCAAAGCACUAAGCCAGGAUUUUUCUAACUUAUAAGCAUAUUGAUUUUGAUGGUUAAGAGAAUUUGAGAUUUCUGUAUUAAUUACUCUGUUUACAUAAAAAUGAACUUUAUGUCAUUUGUGCUUUCUUAUGCACAUUUUCAAAAUUAUGGGACAAUUACAUGAAUUGCUAAAACAGUAAGAGAUGCCUGAUUUAAUUUAACAGAUGAAACUAUAUCAUUAUUCAUGUAUUAUGAAAUAGAUAUAUCAGACUUAGAAAAUAUAAUAAACUUUUAGGAAUGUAUGCAAUUCUUAAUAUGUAUGCCUACCUGAAAAUGAUUAAUUAAAAUGUGAAAUAUAUAGUGAUUUAUAUUUUACUGUACUCAUAUGACAUUAUUAAUUUAAAUAACAAGUACAAAAUACUGUGACAAAGUUGAAAACUAUUAGAUAAAACUGUGUUGCUAGAGUUCCUGUCAUGGCUCAGUGGUAAAGAACCCAAGUAGUGUCUAUGAGGACGUGGGUUUGAUCCCUGGCCUCGUUCAUCAGGUUAAGGAUCCAGCUUUGCCGUGAGCUGUGGUGUAGGUCACAGAUGUGGCUUGGAUCCCACGUUGUUGUAGUGGUGGCCGUGUCUGGCAGCUGCAUCUUAUUCAACCCUUAGCCUGGGAACCUCCAUAUGCUGCGGGUGUGGCCCUAAAAGAGACAUUAAAAAAAAAAAAACAAAAAAAAAA